RNAcentral lists this ribosomal RNA (477 nucleotides) under uncultured bacterium. RNAcentral describes it as "partial 16S ribosomal RNA". It matches the Rfam family "Bacterial small subunit ribosomal RNA", at positions 29 to 507 of the family's 1533-position model. The record is from RNAcentral.
AUGAACGCUAGCGGCAGGCUUAACCCCUGCAAGUCGCGGGGUAUUUAUCUUCGGAUAGAGAGACCGGCGCACGGGUGCGUAACGCGUAUGCAAUCUACCUUUUACAGAGGGAUAGCCCAGAGAAAUUUGGAUUAAUACCUCAUAGUAUAUAGACUCGGCAUCGAGAUUAUAUUAAAGUCACAACGGUAAAAGAUGAGCAUGCGUCCCAUUAGCUAGUUGGUAAGGUAACGGCUUACCAAGGCUACGAUGGGUAGGGGUCCUGAGAGGGAGAUCCCCCACACUGGUACUGAGACACGGACCAGACUCCUACGGGAGGCAGCAGUGAGGAAUAUUGGACAAUGGGCGCAAGCCUGAUCCAGCCAUGCCGCGUGCAGGAUGACGGUCCUAUGGAUUGUAAACUGCUUUUAUACGAGAAGAAACACUGCUACGUGUAGCAGCUUGACGGUAUCGUGAGAAUAAGAAUCGGCUAACUCCGUG